RNAcentral lists this ribosomal RNA (213 nucleotides) under uncultured bacterium. RNAcentral's name for it is "partial 16S ribosomal RNA". It matches the Rfam family "Bacterial small subunit ribosomal RNA", at positions 524 to 737 of the family's 1533-position model. The record is from RNAcentral.
UACGUAGGGUGCAAGCGUUGCCCGGAUUUAUUGGGCGUAAAGGGCGCGUAGGCGGCUCGGCACGUCCGUUGUGAAAUCGCCCGGCUCAACUGGGCGGGGUCGGCGGAUACGGCCGAGCUGGAGCAAGCUAGGGGGUAAUGGAAUUCCCGGUGUAGUGGUGGAAUGCGUAGAUAUCGGGAGAACACCAGUGGCGAAGGCGGUUACCUGGAGCUU